UACGUAGGUGGCAAGCGUUGUCCGGAAUUAUUGGGCGUAAAGCGCGCGCAGGCGGCUUUGCAAGACAGAUGUGAAAUCCCCGGGCUCAACCUGGGAACUGCAUUUGUGACUGCAUGGCUAGAGUACGGUAGAGGGGGAUGGAAUUCCGCGUGUAGCAGUGAAAUGCGUAGAUAUGCGGAGGAACACCGAUGGCGAAGGCAAUCCCCUGGACCUGUACUGACGCUCAUGCACGAAAGCGUGGGGAGCAAACAGG
This 253-nucleotide ribosomal RNA is filed under the name uncultured bacterium. RNAcentral describes it as "partial 16S ribosomal RNA". It matches the Rfam family "Bacterial small subunit ribosomal RNA", at positions 524 to 776 of the family's 1533-position model. The record is from RNAcentral.